UACAGAGGUCUCAAGCGUUGUUCGGAUUCAUUGGGCGUAAAGGGUGCGUAGGCGGCCUUCUUAGUCGAACGUGAAAUCCCCGGGCUCAACCCGGGAACUGCGUCCGAUACUGGAAGGCUCGAAUCCGGGAGAGGGAUGUGGAAUUCCAGGUGUAGCGGUGAAAUGCGUAGAUAUCUGGAGGAACACCGGUGGCGAAGGCGACAUCCUGGACCGGUAUUGACGCUGAGGCGCGAAAGCCAGGGGAGCAAACGGG
Molecule: ribosomal RNA, 253 nt
Filed under: uncultured bacterium
Lineage: Bacteria
Description: partial 16S ribosomal RNA
Rfam family: Bacterial small subunit ribosomal RNA
Source: RNAcentral